UAAGGAAUAUUGGUCAAUGGACGAAAGUCUGAACCAGCCAUGCCGCGUGAAGGAUGAAGGUCCUCUGGAUUGUAAACUUCUUUUAUAGGGGACGAAAAAAGGGAAUUCUUUCUCACUUGACGGUACCCUAGGAAUAAGCACCGGCUAACUCCGUGCCAGCAGCCGCGGUAAUACGGAGGGUGCAAGCGUUAUCCGGAUUCACUGGGUUUAAAGGGAGCGUAGGUGGGCAGGUAAGUCAGUGGUGAAAUCUCCGGGCUUAACCCGGAAACUGCCAUUGAUACUAUCUGUCUUGAAUAUUCUGGAGGUAAGCGGAAUAUGUCAUGUAGCGGUGAAAUGCUUAGAUAUGACAUAGAACACCCAUUGCGAAGGCAGCUUACUACGGAACUAUUGACACUGAGGCUCGAAAGCGUGGGGAUCAAACAGGAUUAGAUACCCCGGUAGUCC
RNAcentral lists this ribosomal RNA (444 nucleotides) under uncultured bacterium. RNAcentral's name for it is "bacterial SSU rRNA". It matches the Rfam family "Bacterial small subunit ribosomal RNA", at positions 355 to 796 of the family's 1533-position model. The record is from RNAcentral.